Molecule: ribosomal RNA, 669 nt
Filed under: uncultured Enterobacter sp.
Lineage: Bacteria; Pseudomonadati; Pseudomonadota; Gammaproteobacteria; Enterobacterales; Enterobacteriaceae
Description: bacterial SSU rRNA
Rfam family: Bacterial small subunit ribosomal RNA
Source: RNAcentral
GUCGAACGGUAACAGGAAGCAGCUUGCUGCUUUGCUGACGAGUGGCGGACGGGUGAGUAAUGUCUGGGAAACUGCCUGAUGGAGGGGGAUAACUACUGGAAACGGUAGCUAAUACCGCAUAACGUCGCAAGACCAAAGAGGGGGACCUUCGGGCCUCUUGCCAUCGGAUGUGCCCAGAUGGGAUUAGCUAGUAGGUGGGGUAACGGCUCACCUAGGCGACGAUCCCUAGCUGGUCUGAGAGGAUGACCAGCCACACUGGAACUGAGACACGGUCCAGACUCCUACGGGAGGCAGCAGUGGGGAAUAUUGCACAAUGGGCGCAAGCCUGAUGCAGCCAUGCCGCGUGUAUGAAGAAGGCCUUCGGGUUGUAAAGUACUUUCAGCGGGGAGGAAGGCGAUAAGGUUAAUAACCUUGUCGAUUGACGUUACCCGCAGAAGAAGCACCGGCUAACUCCGUGCCAGCAGCCGCGGUAAUACGGAGGGUGCAAGCGUUAAUCGGAAUUACUGGGCGUAAAGCGCACGCAGGCGGUCUGUCAAGUCGGAUGUGAAAUCCCCGGGCUCAACCUGGGAACUGCAUUCGAAACUGGCAGGCUAGAGUCUUGUAGAGGGGGGUAGAAUUCCAGGUGUAGCGGUGAAAUGCGUAGAGAUCUGGAGGAAUACCGGUGGCGAA